GGUGGUGCAUGGUUGUCGUCAGCUCGUGUCGUGAGAUGUUGGGUUAAGUCCCGCAACGAGCGCAACCCUUAUUGUUAGUUGCCAUCAUUUAGUUGGGCACUCUAGCGAGACUGCCGGUGACAAACCGGAGGAAGGUGGGGAUGACGUCAAAUCAUCAUGCCCCUUAUGACCUGGGCUACACACGUGCUACAAUGGGAAGUACAACGAGUUGCGAAGUCGCGAGGCUAAGCUAAUCUCUUAAAGCUUCUCUCAGUUCGGAUUGUAGGCUGCAACUCGCCUACAUGAAGCCGGAAUCGCUAGUAAUCGCGGAUCAGCACGCCGCGGUGAAUACGUUCCCGGGUCUUGUACACACC
RNAcentral lists this ribosomal RNA (353 nucleotides) under uncultured bacterium. Its description in RNAcentral is "bacterial SSU rRNA". It matches the Rfam family "Bacterial small subunit ribosomal RNA", at positions 1037 to 1391 of the family's 1533-position model. The record is from RNAcentral.